UAGCUCAGUGGCAUAAGCGCCUGCUUUGCAAGCAGGCAGUCCUGAGUUCAAUCCUCAG
This 58-nucleotide transfer RNA is filed under the name Cavia porcellus (domestic guinea pig). It matches the Rfam family "tRNA", at positions 8 to 63 of the family's 71-position model. Rfam says of the family: Transfer RNA (tRNA) molecules are approximately 80 nucleotides in length. Their secondary structure includes four short double-helical elements and three loops (D, anti-codon, and T loops). Further hydrogen bonds mediate the characteristic L-shaped molecular structure. tRNAs have two regions of fundamental functional importance: the anti-codon, which is responsible for specific mRNA codon recognition, and the 3' end, to which the tRNAs corresponding amino acid is attached (by aminoacyl-tRNA synthetases). tRNAs cope with the degeneracy of the genetic code in two manners: having more than one tRNA (with a specific anti-codon) for a particular amino acid; and 'wobble' base-pairing, i.e. permitting non-standard base-pairing at the 3rd anti-codon position. Lineage: Eukaryota; Metazoa; Chordata; Mammalia; Rodentia; Caviidae. The record is from Rfam by way of RNAcentral.